RNA transcript from Daphnia magna, 3833 nucleotides. RefSeq lists it as uncharacterized. The record is from RefSeq and is a predicted model, not a curated record. The transcript has 8 exons. Lineage: Eukaryota; Metazoa; Arthropoda; Branchiopoda; Diplostraca; Daphniidae.
AUGUCUUCUGACAGGACUACCGUCAUGUCGUUAGUACUUCAGGUGCAAUAAAUAUCUGUAUGGAUCCGCAUUCCCUGACCGUGCUCGUGAACCUUAUUUUGCAAUUCCUGAAAUUGAAAUAAGGUCACCGUUUAAUAGAAUUCAAGAGAAAAGAAAACAAAUGACAUGUUUAUGUUCAUCAACGCCAUUUGUUCAUUAGGGAUAUGUUGUUUACACAAAAUUGUUUUAAAUCUUAUCUCCUGGGAUUUGCUCAAUGGCCGAGGGCAAAUCGCAGCUGCAGCACGUUGUCUCGUUAUUAUCACCCAGUAAGGCCUGAAAGGACAAAUAUGCUACCUGCCUUUGUAUAUAUCGACAGGUUUUAACGUAGCAUCAACGAAUACAGUGAGAAAUGGCAGCUGCAGCGUGUGCCUCGUUGGAGGAAACAGAGAGCUUCAUAACAUGUAGUAUUUGCUUGUGUGAAUUUGAUGCAGAAUUCAGGAAGCCCAAAUUUUUGCCUUGUGCUCACACUGUUUGCCUUAAAUGUUUAGAGGAGAUUCACAAAAAUUUUGUCAUAGCUUGCCCACUCUGUCGAAAAGAGUUCUCGUAUCAGGACAAUGUCACAUGCCUUCCCAACAACUCUUAUGUGCUGCACAUGCUAAGGUUAACAGAAAAAAAUGCAGAACCUGCAAGUAAACCUGAUCUAGAGGGGAAACCUACAUGGUGCCUCACAUGUGGUGCCGUGGCUAAACAAAGCUGUUCUGUUCAUUCCAUUAUUGAUGUUACAGCCAACACAAUCAAGAAUUUUGAAUCACUCUUGAAUCUCAGAGAUGAUCUCAAGAAAAUGAGGGAUCAAGGCCAAACAAAAUUAGCCUUGGCCAUUGAAAAGAGAAAAGAAAUUCAGACCCAUUUUCAGCAACUAUCUCAGUCAUUGAAAUUGGUUUUGCAUGAAGUCACUGUACAAGAAGAUCAAAAUAAUCUCCUUCUUGUUGAAAUGAUUUCUCAACUAGAGGCGAACAGUCCUCAAUUACGAUCUCGCCUUUCAUCCUCCGAAAUGAUAACAGGACAAGACGACCAAGAUCCUAUUUUAUCCGAAUUGAUGUCUGUAGUCGAUGGUUCCAAACCAGAAGAUAGUUUUGAAAUUCUCAAAGAAAAAAUGAAGAAAACUCUCCAGUCCUACGAGAGCAAGCUGGCCGAAGCAGUUGCCAUGGCCAAGUCUAUCACGUAUCAAAAGAAGAGCAUAAUAUCUGUUUGGCUUACUGACUCCAACAAUCAAGCCAUUCCCACAUGGGACUUGCUGGAAUCGGGGUUCAACACGUAUUGGCCAAAUGACACCUGUUUGUCGCCAACAAAACGCGAUUUUCUGCUUUUGUCUCACAUCGUGUUUUCUAUACAAAAGAGGGGACAGAAGAUAAACAAACAAUCAAAUUCAGAUUUCUCUGCUGUGUCCUCCAAGGCGAAACCUGUUGCGACCAAAUUAGGUGAACCUAGUUCCUUAGUGAAGACUGAAAGUUCCUUAGUGAAGACUGAAAAUACUAAUACAACGGUCAAGUUGGAUCCCUCAACCGAAAAAUUUGAUCUCAACAAGUCGACAUUGGUAGUGGUUGUCCGUCGACACGGCACUUUAAAGGGCGCUGUCCAUAUCAGGCUGUCCUCUAGCUGUGAUUCACCAUUCAUGCAGCAAUUGGGUAAAAUCUGCUUCCACUCGUCGAAACAAUUUAGCAAUGCCAUUGGAAAAACUGUUCCCGAUGUGUUUCUCUUGCUUCCGGCCUGUAAGGACCUGGCGGAUUUUUCCUACAACGGGUUGACUGGUCUUCCGCCUACACGCCACUACAUGGAAGCCGGAAUAUCUUUGUGUCCGGAUGAAAAGGGCGUUUUUAAUAGCUGGAAUUUAGUUUUUGCUCUUCGGCAUUUUGAGCAGAAAAAGAACGAGAUGCACUUGAAAACUAUCCAGCCCAUCCAUUUUAUUGGCCAAGUGACAGAGGGCAUAGAUGUUAUCGAAAUGCUCAGUUGGACGACCAAGCACCAGAGAAGUGGGUACACUUUCACUCUGGAAUCGCGUUAGUAAGCUUCCAGCACACGACUAGCGUUUAGGUGCCAAAGAGGAGCGAAUUUUAACAAAUGAAGUGAUUUUGCCAUUAUAAUUUUUGGAGGAAAUUAUGAGUUGAGAGUUUCUUCUUUUUAUUAUUCUCCUUUUUAAUGGCCAAUAGUUUAAUUUCUUUCUGCUAAUAUCUAUCUCGUAGUUUCUUGUUGCCAACCGAUAAGAUAAUCCGGCCAUUCAAAAACAAAAGCAAUAGUAAUUUUACCAAGUCUCCAAAACUUUUAAAGGCCGAAAUGUAACCAAUAGCAAAUUUGGCAAGGAAAUCAAAAGUUCUGUAGACCUAGGCUGCAAUUCCCUGCAUCCAUCCACUGGGAAGGUCACGUUGAAUUUAAGCUAUAGCGUUUGGGCUUCUUUUUGAGGCGAUAAAGGAAUUGGCGGCCAGUAAACUGUUGACAGUGAUGAUUAAAAGGCCACAAAUUGCCAUACAGAAAUCCAAGGCAACUCUGUUACCUGAAAAAUCAAGGUGUUUUUAGUUUAAGAGCCCAAGUCCACAUUUGUGUUUUCCGAAAAAAUAUUAAGGAUUCAAUAUCGUACAUAAUUUCAAUCCAUAGACUAUCGUGGGAAUCAACUUGCAAUUGUGGAGUAAUCCUUGAUUGCUUCUAAGGCUCUUUGAGUAAGAAAUCAGUAGCGUGAUACCAAUCAACGAAGCCUUCACUGCCAUUCCAAUGAUGAUUCUCUUGGUUUUCAGCCUGUAAACAUAGUUUGUGUAAAACAACAUAGCACUUACAGGCUUUAAGAUGCUCACGUGAAACUCACUUUUUACUGAUGAGAAAAAGAGCAAAUACGACCAGGAAGAUUGCUCCCCAGAUCUCUACAGAAGCACCGCUUGAAGCCGUGAAGCCUAAGAUGACGAAAAGACCCAAGAAUAGGUUACUUAUUGCAAGAACAGUCUCCAUAUGAAGAAAACGAUCAGAUCUGUGCAGAAAUUGGUCAAUUCAUUCAUCGAACGGAAAUGGGUGUUCUGUAAGUGCCAUUCCCAAACUGAAAAACGAAUCUAUACUGUGUAUGGUAUGUAGACUAAUGAGCUCAUAGAUGAAAGGAAGUGAAUCAGCUAAAGUGAUAACGAGAAGGUCGUGAGUACUGUAAAGUCAGCAUGAUGUUAAAUCGCUGAUAAGGAGGAAAACAAAACCAGAAAGGUAAAAUAAUCAUGCGCGAAAAGUAAAGAAUUGGCGCCAACCGCUAGGUGGCUUCCGGGGUUCUCGCAACGUGUUCGAGCAAUUCAACUUGUGAAAUUUUGUAGUCCACAGACUCUACACGAGAACGUGUAAAGUCAAUCAUUAUUUGAUUUGUUUGAAAGGCACUGCAAGGUUUCGAUGUAUUCUUGACAAUGAAUAUAUAUUUAGUAAACAGAAGUCAAAUGCAAUAAUAAAGGCACAAACAAUUCAGGCAGUUUAAGAGAGACGUUUCAAUGGGUGUAGAACUACCACUAGAAGGGGUGGACGACCCACGACGUGAGUUUGUUUGAAAAGAUAAAUGUCUACGGACACUAGCUGCAUUGCUGCUGGUAGCUGACGAAACGGUGGCUGUAUCGUCAUCUGCCGAACAACUGUAGUUGAUGUUACAGUGCAUGGCAAAACCUUUCGUUAGAACGGCGUUCUUGCAACGCUAUUCGUUGAUUUUUAGUCCGUUUUUUUAGUUUGCAGUUUGUCACCGGAGUCUUGCUUACCGUGUAUUGCCAUAUGUUUUGCAGUUUACGUUUGCCGAGCAUUGUAAAGAGGCAAAGAAAAAAGUAUUUCAAACACACAGAUGCUAAGGA